This is a long non-coding RNA of Oncorhynchus keta (chum salmon), 1231 nucleotides long. RefSeq lists it as uncharacterized. The transcript is spliced from 3 exons. NCBI's taxonomy places the organism in Eukaryota, Metazoa, Chordata, Actinopteri, Salmoniformes, Salmonidae. The record is from RefSeq and is a predicted model, not a curated record.
AUGCUCGACUAUGCUUGGAAUUGAUAGUUUUGGAAAGAAGACACUCUGACGUUUCCAGAAUUGCAAAGAUUUUCACUGUGAGUGCCGUUGAACAAAAGCUUCAGGCAAAACCAAGAUGUUUGAGCGCCCAGGAAAUGAACAGGAUUUCUGAAGCUACGUUUUCCAUGAUCGCCUUAUAUGGCUGUGAAUGCGACAGGAAUGAACGGACACUUUCUAUCGUUUCCCCAAGGUGUCUGCAGCAUUGUGACGUAUUUGUAGGCAUAUCAUUGGAAGAUUGACCAUAAGAGACUACAAUUGCCAAGUGUCCCGCACGGUGUCUGCGUGGAAAUUGGUGCGCAAAAGUCAGCUACCAGUAUUUUUCCAUCCGAAUCAGAGAAGAAUGCAGGCUUCCAGGGACGGCAUUUCAAUGAAGAGAUAUAUGACAAAACACCUUGAGGAUUGAUUCAAACAACGUUUUCCAUGUUUCAGUCGAUAUUAUGGAGUUAAUUCUGAAAAAAGUUUGACCUGUAGGUGACUGAAUUUUCGGUUAGUUUCGGUAGCCAAAUGCAUAGUAACAAAACGGAACGUUGUGUCCUACACAAGAAUCUUUCAGGAAAAACUGGACAUCUGCUAUGUAACUGAGAGUCUCCUCAUUGAAACAUCUGAAGUUCUUCAAAGUCCAGAUAGACUGCUGGAUUUCAUCUUCAAUGCGGUCACCCCCUAUCUGUAUGUGGAGGAGGUGUGUGAGUUCGCCAUCCCAGAACCCCUGUGUGCCCAGUACGAGAGACCUGACAAGUAGGAAGCCAUCGCUGGAUUUGUGUCCUCCUUCAGCAAUCUAGGGUGAAAGUGAAGACUCUGGGCUCAAUAGGUUCUUGCACCAUAGUCACCGGAAGAGAUGGCGUAUACCUGUGUGACCACACCAAGGUGUUCAAAGAUGGCAGAUGCCUGCUGACAGAUGACAGUUUUGUCCUGGUGGGCUCCUUCUUGGCCUUCUUCGUCCCCCUCACCAUAAUGGUGGUAAGCUACUUACUCACCAUCAGUGCCCUGCAGACUGAUGCUACCAUCUGCCUGGACCAGCUGUUGUUCCGGCCCAAGUGAAGUGCCACCCUGACCCUGGGCUUCUUCCUUCGGGUUCUCACACUCCUGCUCUUCUUCAGGCGUUCACUAAGCCGUGACACAGGAGGGGUUGGCAGGGCAGAAGGCCUCCCAGCUUCUGGUCAUGGUCUUCUUCCUGAUCAUGGUCAUGUUUUGU